RNAcentral lists this ribosomal RNA (423 nucleotides) under uncultured bacterium. Its description in RNAcentral is "partial 16S ribosomal RNA". It matches the Rfam family "Bacterial small subunit ribosomal RNA", at positions 360 to 776 of the family's 1533-position model. The record is from RNAcentral.
AAUUUUGGACAAUGGGGGAAACCCUGAUCCAGCAAUGCCGCGUGCAGGAUGAAGGCCUUCGGGUUGUAAACUGCUUUUGUACGGAACGAAAAGUCUUGGGCUAAUACCCUGGGAUCAUGACGGUACCGUAAGAAUAAGCACCGGCUAACUACGUGCCAGCAGCCGCGGGAAUACGGAGGGUGCAAGCGUUAAUCGGAAUCACUGGGCGUAAAGGGUGGGCGGGCGGUUUUGUAAAACGGUGGUGAAAUCCCCGGGCUCAACCUGGGACUUGCCAUGGUGACUGCAAGGCUGGAGGGCGGCAGAGGGGAUGGAAUUCCGCGUGUAGCAGUGAAAUGCGUAGAUAUGCGGAGGAACACCGAUGGCGAAGGCAAUCCCCUGGGCCUGCACUGACGCUCAUGCACGAAAGCGUGGGGAGCAAACAGG